GCCUCCGACCUGCUGAGGCCCCAGUCAAAGGAUGAACGAAGGGUUUGCAAUGUGAAAUUACGCGGGUGUAUUAGGGUCAGUAGACUGCGAUGAAAGAAUAUGCUGGAAUAUUCCCCCACCGUCACGGGGUAUUUAUGUAAAUGUCAUUGGGUCGGUUUCCGGGCCCUAUAUAAGGGGCGUGAUACCGCCAUUAAUAAGAGAGGGCAUUCAUUGUGUUCACCUACUGUUGAGCCCGCUGCUCGUCGGAGCUCAGACCUCUCACGGCACCGAGUGAGAAGGUUCUCUAUUCAUCGUACUGCUGGGGAGUGCGGAGAGCCUCUUCCCAAC
This 327-nucleotide long non-coding RNA is filed under the name Sorghum bicolor (sorghum). RNAcentral describes it as "long non-coding RNA (SBIC_LNC017023)". The record is from RNAcentral. Lineage: Eukaryota; Viridiplantae; Streptophyta; Magnoliopsida; Poales; Poaceae.